UACGGAGGAGGCAAGCGUUAUCCGGAAUUAUUGGGCGUAAAGCGUCCGCAGGUGGCACUUCAAGUCUGUCGUCAAAGACUGGGGCUUAACCCUGGAAAGGCGGUGAAAACUGAAGCGCUAGAGUGUGGUAGGGGUAGAGGGAAUUCCCGGUGUAGCGGUGAAAUGCGUAGAGAUCGGGAAGAACAUCGGUGGCGAAGGCGCUCUACUGGACCACAACUGACACUCAGGGACGAAAGCUAGGGGAGCGAAUGGG
This 253-nucleotide ribosomal RNA is filed under the name uncultured bacterium. RNAcentral describes it as "partial 16S ribosomal RNA". It matches the Rfam family "Bacterial small subunit ribosomal RNA", at positions 524 to 776 of the family's 1533-position model. The record is from RNAcentral.